UAGAAAGCAUUAUUAUCAAUAUGCCUUU
Molecule: non-coding RNA, 28 nt
Filed under: Mus musculus (house mouse)
Lineage: Eukaryota; Metazoa; Chordata; Mammalia; Rodentia; Muridae
Source: RNAcentral